CUACGUGCCAGCAGCCGCGGUAAUACGGAAGGUCCAGGCGUUAUCCGGAUUUAUUGGGUUUAAAGGGAGCGUAGGCCGGAGAUUAAGUGUGUUGUGAAAUGUAGACGCUCAACGUCUGACUUGCAGCGCAUACUGGUUUCCUUGAGUACGCACAACGUUGGCGGAAUUCGUCGUGUAGCGGUGAAAUGCUUAGAUAUGACGAAGAACUCCGAUUGCGAAGGCAGCUGACGGGAGCGCAACUGACGCUUAAGCUCGAAGGUGCGGGUAUCGAACAGGAUUAGAUACCCUGGUAGUCCGCACAGUAAACGAUGGAUGCCCGCUGUUGGUACCUGGUAUCAGCGGCUAAGCGAAAGCAUUAAGCAUCCCACCUGGGGAGUACGCCGGCAACGGUAAAACUCAAAGGAAUUGACGGGGGCCCGCACAAGCGGAGGAACAUGUGGUUUAAUUCGAUGAUACGCGAGGAACCUUACCCGGGCU
RNAcentral lists this ribosomal RNA (477 nucleotides) under uncultured bacterium. Its description in RNAcentral is "bacterial SSU rRNA". It matches the Rfam family "Bacterial small subunit ribosomal RNA", at positions 501 to 981 of the family's 1533-position model. The record is from RNAcentral.